AUGGCCAAUUUCAAGAUCACUAGUUACGCCGGCGUACUGGUGGAAAACAGCAAGCUUGACUUCCAAAGCUUGUAUUUGCGCAGGAUCAUUUCUGGGGAUAAGAAAAACCAGUAUGUAGUGAUAGAUGGAUUUGGUACUACUGACCUUGGUCUCACAACCAUCAACGACUGGGCAAUAUAUGAUGGUGUGGCCCCUGGCGCAAAGCUAGUCGCUCGUGCAAAAGGCAUGCGUAUGAAUGCUGCUGGCUGGUGCAAUUUAUUCAUCAUAGUGUUCGAGCUUGACAGGUUCAAAGGAUCCACGCUUGAGGUAAUGGGAGCAACUACUGAUGAACAAGGGGAAUGGGCUAUUGUUGGUGGGACUGGUGACUUCACUAUGGCGCGUGGUGUCAUCCAGAGAAAAAUACAUCAAAAAGAAGCUGAUGGAGAUGUAUUAGAGCUUACUAUCGAUGCAUUCUGCCGCAUGAAGGUGAGUGCUUCUACUACUUCCGACACCGCCAACCAGGCGCAGUCCAAGAGGGCGCCAGCUCCUCACAUGUUCCGGGAGAUUGUUGCCGGGGAGAAGGUCACCAAUGUAGCUGCACUGGAAGAUCAGGUUUCCACCGGGAUCUUCUUGACUGGGAAAACAAAGAAGUACUGGGUGGAUGAGAGGACUAGGCACAACUGCUUCAUGCUGUUCCCCAGAGGCCUGGCCAUCACUUGGAGCGAAGAACCCCAAUACUGGACUUGGCAACCCCUGAAAGAAGGAAGUGCUGCCGAAGCUGGAAUCGAGAUGGUGGCGCUGAAGAACGUCUGCUGGUUGGAGGUCCAAGGGAAGCUGGAACUGCCCCAUCUCACACCAGGAGUCACCUAUGAGGUUUUCUUCGAGGUGAUGCUCGACGAUACGGCCUACGGGUGGUCGACGCCGGUGAACUUCCGGCUCAAGUUCCCCGACGGGACGAUCCAGCAGCACAAGGAGAACCUGCAGGAGAAGCCCAGGGGGGAGUGGCUGCAGGUCAAGGUUGGGGAGGUUAAGCCACACAAUGGGCAGAAUGGAGAGGCAGAGAUCUCCAUGAUUGAGUCUGAUGGUGGGCAGUGGAAGAGGGGGCUCCUCAUCAAGGGCAUCAAGAUCAUCCCAAAAGAAUGA
This 1122-nucleotide ribosomal RNA is filed under the name Triticum aestivum (bread wheat). RNAcentral's name for it is "partial small subunit ribosomal RNA". The record is from RNAcentral. Lineage: Eukaryota; Viridiplantae; Streptophyta; Magnoliopsida; Poales; Poaceae.